UCACCACGGCGACGAUGCGUAGCCGACAUGAGAGGGUGAUCGGCCACACUGGGAUUGAGACACGGCCCAGACUCCUACGCGAGGCAGCAGUAGGGAAUCUUCCGCAAUGGACGAAAGUCUGACGGAGCAACGCCGCGUGAGUGAUGAAGGUUUUCGGAUCGUAAAGCUCUGUUGUUAGGGAAGAACAAGUGCAAGAGUAACUGCUUGCACCUUGACGGUACCUAACCAGAAAGCCACGGCUAACUACGUGCCAGCAGCCGCGGUAAUACGUAGGUGGCAAGCGUUGUCCGGAAUUAUUGGGCGUAAAGGGCUCGCAGGCGGUUUCUUAAGUCUGAUGUGAAAGCCCCCGGCUCAACCGGGGAGGGUCAUUGGAAACUGGGAAACUUGAGUGCAGAAGAGGAGAGUGGAAUUCCACGUGUAGCGGUGAAAUGCGUAGAGAUGUGGAGGAACACCAGUGGCGAAGGCGACUCUCUGGUCUGUAACUGACGCUGAGGAGCGAAAGCGUGGGGAGCGAACAGGAUUAGAUACCCUGGUAGUCCACGCCGUAAACGAUGAGUGCUAAGUGUUAGGGGGUUUCCGCCCCUUAGUGCUGCAGCUAACGCAUUAAGCACUCCGCCUGGGGAGUACGGUCGCAAGACUGAAACUCAAAGGAAUUGACGGGGGCCCGCACAAGCGGUGGAGCAUGUGGUUUAAUUCGAAGCAACGCGAAGAACCUUACCAGGUCUUGACAUCCUCUGACAACCCUAGAGAUAGGGCUUUCCCUUCGGGGACAGAGUGACAGGUGGUGCAUGGUUGUCGUCAGCUCGUGUCGUGAGAUGUUGGGUUAAGUCCCGCAACGAGCGCAACCCUUGAUCUUAGUUGCCAGCAUUCAGUUGGGCACUCUAAGGUGACUGCCGGUGACAAACCGGAGGAAGGUGGGGAUGACGUCAAAUCAUCAUGCCCCUUAUGACCUGGGCUACACACGUGCUACAAUGGACAGAACAAAGGGCUGCGAGACCGCAAGGUUUAGCCAAUCCCACAAAUCUGUUCUCAGUUCGGAUCGCAGUCUGCAACUCGACUGCGUGAAGCUGGAAUCGCUAGUAAUCGCGGAUCAGCAUGCCGCGGUGAAUACGUUCCCGGGCCUUGUACACACCGCCCGUCGCACCACGAGAGUUUGCA
This 1158-nucleotide ribosomal RNA is filed under the name Bacillus aerophilus. RNAcentral's name for it is "bacterial SSU rRNA". It matches the Rfam family "Bacterial small subunit ribosomal RNA", at positions 265 to 1416 of the family's 1533-position model. Lineage: Bacteria; Bacillati; Bacillota; Bacilli; Caryophanales; Bacillaceae. The record is from RNAcentral.